RNAcentral lists this non-coding RNA (1920 nucleotides) under Pan troglodytes (chimpanzee). The record is from RNAcentral. Lineage: Eukaryota; Metazoa; Chordata; Mammalia; Primates; Hominidae.
CUGAGAGUCAGGGCGGACCUGGACUCGGCGCGCCUAGCUCCUCGGCUCCCUUUGCGGGGACUCCAGGAGUCUGCCCGCUCGCGCCGUUUCGUCCUGUCACCCCGGCAACGGGACCCUCUAAGAGGCUUGUUCCAAAAAUGUUCACAAUGGGGUUUUUAAAAACGGUUUUGUUAGGGACAAGUGCUUGUGUGAGUCCUCCGACAAUGCCUGCUUUCUUCUCGCUGCCCGCGGAGCGGAGGCUCCAGGCCUGGCCCCAGUCCGAGGCGCCUCUGUCGGUGUCGUCCUGCUUCCAAAACCGGCCUCCAGAACCCGCCUCCUUCCAGAACCUCCGUCCAGAACCCGCCUCCCUCCAGAACCUCCGUACAGAACCCACAUCCUUCUAGCACCUGCCUCUGGAACCCACGUGCUUUCAGAACUACCUGUUUGUAGAACUUGUUUCCAGAACGAACCUGCUUUCCGAAUCUCUUUACUUCCAGAGCUUGUUUCCUGGACUGACCUAUUUUCAGAACCUACUUUCAAAACCAGCUUGCCUCCAGGACCACCUGCUUGGAGAACUGGCCUGCAGCCCCAGGACUGGACGACUUGAGACUGCACAGCUCCCUGCGGGGCUCACCCGGCUGUGUGUGUCCUUCCGGGCCUUCCAUACUUCCCUAGGUGUCUGGUGACUCCGGAGCCCGCUCGGAUUUCGUGUGGGUCUCGCCUCAGCUCAGAACACACCCUUUGAAGAGCAGGAAGGCCAGGGCACAGGCGGUAACCACGGCUCCUGGUCAUCAAGUUCCUCUGAAGCCCAGGCCUUGUCCACGUUCACUGCCCCACCACAGGCCCAGCGGAGCCUUGGAGCUGAGCCCUGGGAUCAUUCUGGUGCCUGUGCUCCCGGCUCCGCAACAAGCACACAUGAGCCUGUCAUCCCCAGAUCUAAAUCCUGAAGGCUAAGCUCCGUGGUCUGCCGCAGCCAUCUGCAGCAGGCCCCUCCCAGCAACAGCCUUCUCAUAAGGCCCCUGCCAGCCACGCGAAACCUCCUGGCUAGGGCCUGUCUUCCACUCCUGGCCUUUUGAGACAGGGCCUCACUCUGUUCCCUAGGCCGGAGUGCAGUGGUACGAUCACAGCUCACUGCAGCCUCCACCUCCUGGGCUCAUGUGAUCCUCCCACCUCAGCCUCCUGAAUAGCUGGGACUACAGGCUUGCACCACCACACCCGGCUAAUUUUUGUAUAUUUUGUAGAGACAGGGUUUCACCACAUUGCCCAGGCCCAGGCUGGUCUCAAACUUCUGGGCUCAAGCAAUUCAUCUGCCUCAACCUCCCAAAAGUGCUGGGAUUACAGGGAUGAGCCACCACACCCGGCUUUUUUUUUUUUCUUUCUCCUGGCCUUUUGGGCCCUUGAAGUGUCUGCUCCCUGGGAGCCCUUCAGCUUGUCGUCCACCUGGUGGGUUCCCACCCGUCCUUCUCACUUCUGCCUGAAUCACACAGGCUACAUGAGACCUUCACCCACCCCCUUCGCCAGCAGCUCUGUGGUUCAAGUUUCCUCAAGGGCAGGGGCUCCUGGCCAUCUUACCUGUGGGCCUGAGCAUGGGCCGAUGCUUCCAAAGUUCACACUGGGUGCACUUGUGUGGGGACUCCCAUGUGAGUCAUCUCCUUGCAGGCUGCCAAGGUCCUGUACAGCAGAGACCCCAACCCUCUUAGCAGUCUUCAGAGUCGGCUAUGUGUACAGGAGGCAUUACCAUAUCAGUGACUGUCAGCAAGCAUGUGUGACUGAAAUGGUAUCCAGUUCUUACGUAUUUGUUUUGCAGGCUUCUUGGUUCAGCAGACAGAGGCCAUUGGGAAGUUAAGAGAGGCUCUCAAACUUUGAGGGUCAUAAGACUUCCCCUCCCUGCAGGGUGCUGUUUCCUGAAGGAAAAUAUUCAAUUACUAUUUUAUUUAUUUA